RNAcentral lists this ribosomal RNA (253 nucleotides) under uncultured bacterium. RNAcentral describes it as "partial 16S ribosomal RNA". It matches the Rfam family "Bacterial small subunit ribosomal RNA", at positions 524 to 776 of the family's 1533-position model. The record is from RNAcentral.
UACGAAGGGGGCUAGCGUUGCUCGGAAUUACUGGGCGUAAAGGGCGCGUAGGCGGAUAUCUAAGUUGGGGGUGAAAUCCCGGGGCUCAACCUCGGAAUUGCCUUCAAAACUGGAUAUCUUGAGUUCGGGAGAGGUGAGUGGAACUCCGAGUGUAGAGGUGAAAUUCGUAGAUAUUCGGAAGAACACCAGUGGCGAAGGCGACUCACUGGCCCGAUACUGACGCUGAGGAGCGAAAGCGUGGGGAGCAAACAGG